RNAcentral lists this ribosomal RNA (150 nucleotides) under Prolemur simus (greater bamboo lemur). RNAcentral's name for it is "5.8S ribosomal RNA (ENSPSMG00000013371.1)". It matches the Rfam family "5.8S ribosomal RNA". Rfam says of the family: 5.8S ribosomal RNA (5.8S rRNA) is a component of the large subunit of the eukaryotic ribosome. Lineage: Eukaryota; Metazoa; Chordata; Mammalia; Primates; Lemuridae. The record is from Rfam by way of RNAcentral.
GACUCUUAGUGGUUGAUCACUCAUCUCAUGCAUCGAAGAACGCAGCUAGCUGUGAGAAUUAAUGUGAAUUGCAGGACACAUUGAUAAUCGACACUUUGAACGCACUUGUGGCCCUGGGUUCCUCCUGUGUCUACACCUGUCUGAGUGUUG